ACAGGUUUUUACAGCAACUUGUUGUGUUUCACAGUAGCCAGGGACUACGACAUGCACCAGCGAGCACACAUACAGACCUACAGCUCUCUGAUGUGCUAGCAUCGUUAAGUGAGGUCGAAGGUUGUCUAAAACAGUGCUUAGAAGCUUUGCACGCUUUCACAGGAGCAGUGGAAGUGACCUUGAAUUGGGAGCAGGUUCAAGAUGAUGGAGAUGCUGUUGUAUCCGGUUACAAAGUUUACGUGAAUGGUAAACAGUACGGCUUCCAAGUUCACCCACAUAUCAACGAAAUGAUGCUAA
Long non-coding RNA from Anneissia japonica, 297 nucleotides. RefSeq lists it as uncharacterized. NCBI's taxonomy places the organism in Eukaryota, Metazoa, Echinodermata, Crinoidea, Comatulida, Comatulidae. The transcript has 3 exons. The record is from RefSeq and is a predicted model, not a curated record.